ACAGCUAAGACAGACAGAAGCUGGUAACUUGCUCAAGGUCCAGAGCUAAUAGACAGCAGCGCUGGCAAUGAGGCAGUGAUUGAGGUGCCUGUGGCUGUCUUCCUGCUGUCCCGGUAACCACUGUCAUCUGACCUAAAACCACGGACUGAGAGGGCUCAUCAAAAACAGGUUCUUGCUUUGAACAACAGAACACUUUGAGUGACUCACUGGUCAGAUGCUGUAAGGUAUUUUUUU
RNAcentral lists this long non-coding RNA (234 nucleotides) under Homo sapiens (human). RNAcentral describes it as "HSALNT0306590". Lineage: Eukaryota; Metazoa; Chordata; Mammalia; Primates; Hominidae. The record is from RNAcentral.